Molecule: ribosomal RNA, 604 nt
Filed under: uncultured bacterium
Lineage: Bacteria
Description: bacterial SSU rRNA
Rfam family: Bacterial small subunit ribosomal RNA
Source: RNAcentral
CCAGACUCCUACGGGAGGCAGCAGUAGGGAAUCUUCGGCAAUGGACGAAAGUCUGACCGAGCAACGCCGCGUGAGUGAAGAAGGUUUUCGGAUCGUAAAACUCUGUUGGUAGAGAAGAACGUUGGUGAGAGUGGAAAGCUCAUCAAGUGACGGUAACUACCCAGAAAGGGACGGCUAACUACGUGCCAGCAGCCGCGGUAAUACGUAGGUCCCGAGCGUUGUCCGGAUUUAUUGGGCGUAAAGCGAGCGCAGGUGGUUUAUUAAGUCUGGUGUAAAAGGCAGUGGCUCAACCAUUGUAUGCAUUGGAAACUGGUAGACUUGAGUGCAGGAGAGGAGAGUGGAAUUCCAUGUGUAGCGGUGAAAUGCGUAGAUAUAUGGAGGAACACCGGUGGCGAAAGCGGCUCUCUGGCCUGUAACUGACACUGAGGCUCGAAAGCGUGGGGAGCAAACAGGAUUAGAUACCCUGGUAGUCCACGCCGUAAACGAUGAGUGCUAGAUGUAGGGAGCUAUAAGUUCUCUGUAUCGCAGCUAACGCAAUAAGCACUCCGCCUGGGGAGUACGACCGCAAGGUUGAAACUCAAAGGAAUUGACGGGGGCCCGCACA